RNAcentral lists this ribosomal RNA (230 nucleotides) under uncultured bacterium. RNAcentral describes it as "partial 16S ribosomal RNA". It matches the Rfam family "Bacterial small subunit ribosomal RNA", at positions 104 to 334 of the family's 1533-position model. The record is from RNAcentral.
CGGGGUGGAAGUAAUGUCGUGGAACUGCCUGAUGGCGGGGGAUAACUACUGGAAACGGUAGCUAAUACCGCAUAAUGUCUGCGGACCAAAGCGGGGGACCUCCGGGCCUCGCGCCAUCAGAUGAACCCAUAUGGGAUUAGCUAGUAGGUAAGGUAACGGCUUACCUAGGCGACGAUCCCUAGCUGGUCUGAGAGGAUGAUCAGCCACACUGGGACUGAGACACGGCCCAG